RNAcentral lists this ribosomal RNA (465 nucleotides) under Vreelandella stevensii. Its description in RNAcentral is "partial 16S ribosomal RNA". It matches the Rfam family "Bacterial small subunit ribosomal RNA", at positions 338 to 795 of the family's 1533-position model. The record is from RNAcentral. Lineage: Bacteria; Pseudomonadati; Pseudomonadota; Gammaproteobacteria; Oceanospirillales; Halomonadaceae.
CCUACGGGAGGCUGCAGUGGGGAAUAUUGGACAAUGGGGGGAACCCUGAUCCAGCCAUGCCGCGUGUGUGAAGAAGGCCCUCGGGUUGUAAAGCACUUUCAGUGAGGAAGAACGCCUGGUGGUUAAUACCCAUCAGGAAAGACAUCACUCACAGAAGAAGCACCGGCUAACUCCGUGCCAGCAGCCGCGGUAAUACGGAGGGUGCGAGCGUUAAUCGGAAUUACUGGGCGUAAAGCGCGCGUAGGUGGCUUGAUAAGCCGGUUGUGAAAGCCCCGGGCUCAACCUGGGAACGGCAUCCGGAACUGUCAAGCUAGAGUGCAGGAGAGGAAGGUAGAAUUCCCGGUGUAGCGGUGAAAUGCGUAGAGAUCGGGAGGAAUACCAGUGGCGAAGGCGACCUUCUGGACUGACACUGCCACUGAGGUGCGAAAGCGUGGGUAGCAAACAGGAUUAGAUACCCUUGUAGUC